GUGUGUGUGUCUUUAAAAGACUCUCCACCUCCCAGCCCGCCUCCUCACACUUUGCCACUGGGUUGUUCAGUCCCCAGGUUCCCUCAGUCCCCAGAAGGAGCCAGCAUGGACAAUCUGCUUUAUAGUUUUGGAAGCAGGUUUGUUGCCAUGGAGUUCACAUUUUGACUGGAGUUGAGAAGUAUAAAGACUAAAAACUAAAGCUUGCAGAGACCUCUGAAGGAAAACCUGUCCCGGGCUCUGUCACUUCACACCCAUGGCUAACCCUGGAGGUGGUACUGUUUGCAAUGGGAAACUUCACAAUCACAAGAAACAGAGCAAUGGCUUGCAAAGCAGAAACUGCACAAAGAAUGGAAUAGUGAAAGAAGCCCAG
Chlorocebus sabaeus (green monkey) is the source of this 370-nucleotide non-coding RNA. Lineage: Eukaryota; Metazoa; Chordata; Mammalia; Primates; Cercopithecidae. The record is from RefSeq and is a predicted model, not a curated record.